RNAcentral lists this ribosomal RNA (497 nucleotides) under uncultured bacterium. Its description in RNAcentral is "partial 16S ribosomal RNA". It matches the Rfam family "Bacterial small subunit ribosomal RNA", at positions 28 to 507 of the family's 1533-position model. The record is from RNAcentral.
GAUGAACGCUGGCGGCGUGCCUAAUACAUGCAAGUCGAGCGAACGGACGAGAAGCUCGCUUCUCUGAUGUUAGCGGCGGACGGGUGAGUAACACGUGGAUAACCUACCUAUAAGACUGGGAUAACUUCGGGAAACCGGAUCUAAUACCGGAUAAUAUUUUGAACCGCAUGGUUCAAAAGUGAAGGACGGUCUUGCUGUCACUUAUAGAUGGAUCCGCGCUGCAUUAGCUAGUUGGUAAGGUAACGGCUUACCAAGGCAACGAUGCAUAGCCGACCUGAGAGGAUGAUCAGCCACACUGGAACUGAGACACGGUCCAGACUCCUACGGGAGGCAGCAGUAGGGAAUCUUCCGCAAUGGGCGAAAGCCUGACGGAGCAACGCCGCGUGAGUGAUGAAGGUCUUCGGAUCGUAAAACUCUGUUAUUAGGGAAGAACAUAUGUGUAAGUAACUGUGCACAUCUUGACGGUACCUAAUCAGAAAGCCACGGCUAACUACGUG